GAUGAACGCUAGCGGCAGGCUUAAUACAUGCAAGUUGAGGGGCAGCAUGAUAUACGCGAGUAUAUUGAUGGCGACCGGCGGACGGGUGAGUAAUAGGUAGGAGACCUACCUCAUACAGGGGGAUAGCAUAGAGAAAUCUGUGGUAAUACCCCAUGAGGUUAUAUGAAUAGAGGCAUAUAAUCAAAGCAUAAGCGAUUAUGCGGUAUGAGAGGGGCCUACUGACCAUUAGCUAGUUGGUGAGGUAAGGGCUCACCAAGGCGAAGAUGGUUAGGGGUUUUGAGAGAGAGACCCCCCACAUUGGAACCGAGAGACGGUCCAGACUCCUACGGGAGGCAGCAGUAGGGAAUAUUGGGCAAUGGGCGAAAGCCUGACCCAGCCAUGCCGCGUGAAGGAAGACGGCCUUAUGGGUUGUAAACUUCUUUACUACGCGAAUAGAGGUUAGUACGAGAUACUAAUAGGAAGGUAGUGUAGUAAAAAGCACGGCUAACUCCGUGCC
RNAcentral lists this ribosomal RNA (496 nucleotides) under uncultured bacterium. Its description in RNAcentral is "bacterial SSU rRNA". It matches the Rfam family "Bacterial small subunit ribosomal RNA", at positions 28 to 509 of the family's 1533-position model. The record is from RNAcentral.